UACGUAGGUGGCGAGCGUUGUCCGGAUUUAUUGGGUUUAAAGGGUGCGUAGGCGGCCCUGUAAGUCAGUGCUGAAAUAUCCCGGCUUAACCGGGAGGGUGGCAUUGAUACUGCGGGGCUUGAGUGGAGUCGAAGUAGGCGGAAUUGACGGUGUAGCGGUGAAAUGCUUAGAUAUCGUCAAGAACACCGAUAGUGAAGACAGUUUACUAGGCUUUUACUGACGCUGAGGCACGAAAGUGUGUGGAUCAAACAGG
This 253-nucleotide ribosomal RNA is filed under the name uncultured bacterium. Its description in RNAcentral is "partial 16S ribosomal RNA". It matches the Rfam family "Bacterial small subunit ribosomal RNA", at positions 524 to 776 of the family's 1533-position model. The record is from RNAcentral.